Molecule: ribosomal RNA, 819 nt
Filed under: Salmonella enterica
Lineage: Bacteria; Pseudomonadati; Pseudomonadota; Gammaproteobacteria; Enterobacterales; Enterobacteriaceae
Description: partial 23S ribosomal RNA
Rfam family: Bacterial large subunit ribosomal RNA
Source: RNAcentral
CCCCGUACACAAAAGCGCAUGUGCUGUGAGCUCGAUGAGUAGGGCGGGACACGUGGUAUCCUGUCUGAAUAUGGGGGGACCAUCCUCCAAGGCUAAAUACUCCUGACUGACCGAUAGUGAACCAGUACCGUGAGGGAAAGGCGAAAAGAACCCCGGCGAGGGGAGUGAAAAAGAACCUGAAACCGUGUACGUACAAGCAGUGGGAGCACCCUUUGGGGUGUGACUGCGUACCUUUUGUAUAAUGGGUCAGCGACUUAUAUUCUGUAGCAAGGUUAACCGAAUAGGGGAGCCGGAGGGAAACCGAGUCUUAAUUGGGCGUUAAGUUGCAGGGUAUAGACCCGAAACCCGGUGAUCUAGCCAUGGGCAGGUUGAAGGUUGGGUAACACUAACUGGAGGACCGAACCGACUAAUGUUGAAAAAUUAGCGGAUGACCUGUGGCUGGGGGUGAAAGGCCAAUCAAACCGGGAGAUAGCUGGUUCUCCCCGAAAGCUAUUUAGGUAGCGCCUCGUGAAUUCAUCUCCGGGGGUAGAGCACUGUUUCGGCUAGGGGGCCAUCCCGGCUUACCAACCCGAUGCAAACUGCGAAUACCGGAGAAUGUUAUCACGGGAGACACACGGCGGGUGCUAACGUCCGUCGUGAAGAGGGAAACAACCCAGACCGCCAGCUAAGGUCCCAAAGUCAUGGUUAAGUGGGAAACGAUGUGGGAAGGCCCAGACAGCCAGGAUGUUGGCUUAGAAGCAGCCAUCAUUUAAAGAAAGCGUAAUAGCUCACUGGUCGAGUCGGCCUGCGCGGAAGAUGUAACGGGGCUAAACCAUGCAC